RNAcentral lists this ribosomal RNA (253 nucleotides) under uncultured bacterium. Its description in RNAcentral is "partial 16S ribosomal RNA". It matches the Rfam family "Bacterial small subunit ribosomal RNA", at positions 524 to 776 of the family's 1533-position model. The record is from RNAcentral.
UACGGAGGGUGCAAGCGUUAUCCGGAUUUAUUGGGUUUAAAGGGUCCGCAGGCGGACCCGUAAGUCAGAGGUGGAAGCCGGCAGCUUAACUGUCGAACUGCCUUUGAAACUGCGGGUCUUGAGUGAGGUUGAAGUAGCUGGAAUGAGUAGUGUAGCGGUGAAAUGCAUAGAUAUUACUCAGAACACCAAUUGCGAAGGCAGGUUACUAAGUCUUAACUGACGCUGAGGGACGAAAGCGUGGGGAGCGAACAGG